Molecule: transfer RNA, 62 nt
Filed under: Acanthosaura armata (armored pricklenape)
Lineage: Eukaryota; Metazoa; Chordata; Lepidosauria; Squamata; Agamidae
Description: tRNA-Met
Source: RNAcentral
CAGAAUCUGCUACACAAGCAAUUGGGCCCAUACCCCAAAAACGGCCAACCCGCCUUCUGAUA